This is an RNA transcript of Eriocheir sinensis (Chinese mitten crab), 3164 nucleotides long. It is a transcript of the gene named protein FAM136A-like, with no coding region annotated. Lineage: Eukaryota; Metazoa; Arthropoda; Malacostraca; Decapoda; Varunidae. The transcript has 6 exons. The record is from RefSeq and is a predicted model, not a curated record.
UACGACAACCCGGCCCGGCCCGGCUUGGCGGCCAGCUGAUCGGUGACCGCCACACACCACACACGCCGCCGGCCCUGCACGAUGGUGGACCAGGCACAGCACCGCAUCCAGGAGGCCAUGACGGCCCUCGUGGAUGACCUGGACAAGACCUACCUUCGAGGCAUGCAGAGAACAAUGCACCUUUGUGCAGCGUCAUGCUGUGAAAAGAAGGAGAACUCAGUUGACCAGGUGCACCGUUGUAUUGAGAACUGUUCGACACCUCUCACUCAAGCACAGAGUUUUGUGCAGAAUGAACUUUCACAGUUUCAGGAGCGGUUGCAGAGGUGUGUGAUGGUGUGCCAAGACCGUGUCAAAGAUCAUGUACACGCUGAUGCCACAGAAGCUCAGGAACCCCAACGCCACUCCACACUUUCCUUUGCCAACACAGCAGGAAGUGUGUUACGUCAGGCAGCCUUGGGGAAAGAUGGAUAUAUUGUAUGGAAGAUGGCAGAUGGCUUUGCUGUUUGUGAGCCCAGAAAUAUUUAGCUCCAAUACUCACAGUCAUGCUUAGUUUCCACCAAAGCAAAGACCAGCAGGCAGAGGUGUCUGCAUACAAGGCUGAGUUCGAGGGGUGUGCCAUGCAGUGUGUUGAUGAGCACAUCCAGCUGAUGCCGUCUGUAAAGAAGAGGAUUGCUGGUGUUUUAGCAAAAAACUCCUAGGUAUAGUUUUGUAGUACUAGGGAGUCUUUUCGAAACAUUUUUAACUUGCUGGCUCAUAUGGUACAAAUAUAAGAAGGGUUAUUUUCUGCCUCUUUGAAAUCUUUUACCGUCUUGCAGAAAGCAAGGGAUGUGUGUGAACAUGAAAUAGUUAUUGUUUGGCAGCUGAUGACUCACUAACUUAGCAAUCAGUUGAUGAUAAAAAUAAUUGUGUAAUGUGUUGAAAAAUUUAAUUUGUCAAGUACAGUGACAUUUAAACAUGUAACAACGAGUUCUAUACACUCUUUAAAAUAGUUUCUUUCCACUGGUCAACCCAUUUGGGCAUUUCAGAUACUUUAUACAUUGUAAAACAUUUAUUUCCAUUUUUCCUAUUCUGUAGUUAUAGUUUGCUUCUGUUUGUUGGCAAUCAGGAGCCUUUUGAAUGGUGUGUCUGUGCCUGAGUGAAGAAGAAUAGUAAUUGUUUGUAGUGUUUUAUUAAUGUUGGUGUCGUAUGAUUAACAGUAGCAGUCUUAUUUUAAGACUAUGCAUAUUAAAUAGGCACCAUCACGUGCAUUAGAUCAACUGUGCCAAUAUAGACUCAGGCCUCCUACCAGGGAUCUGCUGGGUGUUGGUUGUAAUGCUUUUGCAUCUCAUUUAUUUUCUGUGUGUGACCAUCAAAGCAUUUUGGACAAGAAGAAAGAAAAUUGUGGGUUUUCAUUCCAGGUUCAUCAAUCAGCAUAGUGGGAGUACAGUGUAAUUUACACUCAUUUAAAGUCAUCAUAGAUAUUUUGUAAUAUUUAAUAAAAAGUUGUGUUUACAUAAGCUAUCAUUUUGCAAUAUUGAUGCUUUAUAUUUAAGAUGCAGUGUUGUUGAUAAUUUCGAGGUUAAUAGUUUGUUUUCAGUUACUGAAUUUAUUUUUAUCAGUUUUAUCUCUUAAUUAUCUUUUUGUGAUCAUAUAUCACAUUUUAGUGAGUAUAAUUUUAAAAUAUUGCCAGUUAAACUGCUUUUAUAAUAUUCUUCACCAUUUGUUAUGAAACCAUGACAAUAUUAAUAAAUAUUGUGCCCAGAAAUUUCAAUUAGAAUUUGCAAUAUUUUAUAAAUAAACUUAUAAAAUAUUAUAUAAAUAAACUUAUUGUAGAAAUAAGUUUUUAAAUUGAUUCUCACUCUAAUAUAUACAUGUUAACUUGUUGACUUUACACGUAGUUUUGGGAUUUGCUAUUUUCUCAUCACAUCCACAACAUAAGCAAAAGCUUGUAGACUUUCCAUGCAUUACAAGUUGUUUGGGUUUGCAUGUUUACAAUUCAGAUUUUUACUCUCCAUAUGAUAAUUUUUACAUGUUAAAGAAUGGUGAUAACUUAGCCGGUAUGUCUCGGCAAAUACUAAUACAGCAAAUACUAAACUUGAAGAUGAUGUGAAAUUGAGAUCAAGUCAUGUAAGCCCCAUAUUUAUCUGUAAGUCAAGGAAGAUGAUACAUAUUUAGCCUCCUAUCUAGUAUCAAGGCAGAUGCUAUCCUACUUAUUUAAUUAAAAUUCUGAAAAGAGUUUUAAGUUAAUAGUGGAAGGUCAAUUUGAGAUAUAAUUUAAAACCAGAAUGUUAUGCUAUUGUGUAAGUAGGUGAUUGAUAUCAUAUAUAUAUAUAUAUAUAUAUAUAUAUAUAUAUAUAUAUAUAUAUAUAUAUAUAUAUAUAUAUAUAUAUAUAUAUAUAAACACACACACACACACAUCAAUUUUAAUUUUAAAGAAAUGUGUUCUUGUACAUAUUUCAUGAACACUGCAGUAAAUAUGUAUGUAACUGGAAUGGAAAAACAUUUUCUUUGCUCACCAUUUUAAUUGCCUUAUUUUCACACAAUAUCAAGAGAACAUCUAUUUUCUAACAGUGCAAUAUCAAGAAAACUUUUUUAAGAACUCUAUUGCUCCCUGAACUUAAUGAAUGAAAAUGUUGAUUAAAUUUUUGUUUAUUAUAUAUUGUUUGCAUUAUAGCUGGCAAUUUUUCAUCAGGGUGUCUGAAGGAAUUAUAAUAUUCUACUUCAAUUCAACAAAUUCCUUAAUAUAUAUAUAUAUAUAUAUAUAUAUAUAUAUAUAUAUAUAUAUAUAUAUAUAUAUAUAUAUAUAUAUAUAUAUAUAUAUUUAAAAUGAUGAGAUCGUUAUGGAUGCCUUUCAAGGUUGGCAUUUGCACAUUGGUUCCAUCUGUAUAGACUUGCUGUUUGGUGUUCCCAUAUGGUGCAAUAAGACUGAUCUCAUGUUCCUGAUGAUAUGGGUGGCCUCUAGCUAUAAGUGACCGAGUAGCUGAGGUGUGACCAGUGACACUACAAAUUAUACCUGACACUUCAUGUAAGCCCUAAUUUAAUAUUGCUCUAUUUUUAGAAGUAUAUUUUCUUAGGAAGGUGUUUCACAUAAUGAUUGUAUUCCAGUAUAGUACUAUUUUUUCGUUUUUGUCUGUUCCGCCCAAAGCUGUAAAAUAAUACUGUAAAUAACAUGUUUAAUCUUAUAA